UACGUAGGGGGCAAGCGUUGUCCGGAUUUAUUGGGCGUAAAGAGCGUGUAGGCGGCUUGGUAGGUCCGCUGUGAAAACUCGAGGCUCAACCUCGAGAUGUCGGCGGAAACCACUUGGCUAGAGUCCGGAAGAGGAGAGUGGAAUUCCUGGUGUAGCGGUGAAAUGCGCAGAUAUCAGGAAGAACACCUAUGGCGAAGGCAGCUCUCUAGUACGGUACUGACGCUGAGACGCGAAAGCGUGGGGAGCGAACAGG
Molecule: ribosomal RNA, 253 nt
Filed under: uncultured bacterium
Lineage: Bacteria
Description: partial 16S ribosomal RNA
Rfam family: Bacterial small subunit ribosomal RNA
Source: RNAcentral